GGAAAUGUUUGAAUCUUAAUGUGUUGUUUCAAAGCCCUUGGUUUUCUUAUCAAUAAGGCACCUUAUUGCUUUUUUAAAAAAAACCUUACGGGAAAAUCAGAAAAUACAACCCAUGAUUCUACUCAUUGUCGACUUGCUGAUAACUUGGCUAUUUUCUUUCCAGACCGCAUGAGGCAAAGAUGCCGGAUAGAAGGAUAACUGGAAGGUGUGGAAUGCAGUAGCCAAUUAAUUGUUGAAGCACUCUAGGCUGCUUCUUGAAUCUAGUGCUGUUUCUUUUUCCCACAGGCCACUGGCCCAACUUACUUUCCAUUUUAUUUCAUUUUUUGACUUGGUAAUAUAUUCAAGGUGUAUAUAGUGAGAAGGCACCCUAACCCUGACUCAGCUGCCCAGUUACCUCCCCAAAGGCAACCAUUGUUACCAAUUAAUAUAGCCUGAGUAAAUAUGGACAGAUUUUCUCCAUUUCCCUUUUAACACAAAAUAGAUGCGCCUUGUUUUCCCUCGUUUAACAUUUUGGAGUUCUUCCAUUAUACGUAAAAAUGGCACUCUUUUUAUGUUGCAUACUAUUUAGUUCCUGGAUGUUGCAUAAUUGACGCAGAUAACUUGUGUGCCCCUUCAAUGUGCCAGGUACUAUUAGCCAUGGAAAACAGAUGAACAAAGUCUUUAUCUUCUGGAGCUUAAGUUCUGGAGAGACAAAUGAACAAACAGAGAGAGACAGCACGAGCAGGGGAGGGACAGAGAGAGGAGACAUAAUCCGAAGCGGACUCCAGACUCCGGACUCCAAGCUGUCAGCACAGAGCCCGAUGUGGGGCUUGAGCCCACGAACCGUGAGAUCAUGACCUGAGCCAAAGUCGGAUGCUUAGCGUCUGAGCCACCCAGCAAAUGACCCUAUGCUGGAAUGGAACCUUUCUAUGAUGGCAGAAACGGCAUUUUAAUUUAUGUAAAUACCAGUAGAGGUCACUAUGCUCAGAGAAAUAUUCAUCUUAAAAAAAAAAAAAAAAGGUAACAUUCUGUUAACUGAAAACAUUUCCUGUUUUCAGGAAAUUUGAAGCAAUAUUUACUAGAACUAUAGUUUUACCCAACACUAAAGCAACUCCAGGCAUGGCCUCUGGUCAUAAUUACUGCUUCAAAGCAUCUACAACUCUUCUAGCUGCAUAUGUAAUGUUUAUAUUUGUUGUAUCUUUCUGAUGCGUUGAUGCUUUUAUUAUGAAAUACCUUUGUUUCUAUGAAUAUUUCUUGUUUUAAAAGCUAUUUUGUCUGAUAUUAGUAGAGCCACUCCAGCUCUCUAUUGAUUACUGUUUUGUAUCCAUGGUGGAUCUUUUCCAUCUACUUACUUUUAAUUUUAAGCCUAUUGGUGCAUACAGUUUAAGCUCUGUCUUGCUUGUUAAAUUCAGUCUGACAGAACUCUGCCUUUUGGGUUACUUAAGCCAUCUAUAGUUAAUAGAAUUAUUGAUAUUUUUUUCUGUUUUCUUUUUUUUUUUGUAUUUCCUAUUUUGUUUCUAUAUGUCUCCUGUCUUUUUCCUCCUCUUCCUCCUGUACCUGCAUUCUUUUGCAUUAAAUAUUUUUUUAGUGUAUCAUUUUAAUCCCUUUUGAUUUUCUUUUUUACUAUAUUUGUGAGUUACUUCCAUAGUUGUUAUAUCUUCAUUUAUCACAACCUACUUUAAAUUAAUAUUCUGGCAAAAUUCAGAAAGUUUGCUCCAAUUUAUUUCCUUUUCCUAGACUUCCUUCCCUUGUGCUGUAUAUAUUAUAAGCUCAGUUAUGCAAUGUUAUAAAUUAUUGCUUUAUACAGUCUUAGGUCUUUAUAGAAGAGUCGAGAAAAUAAACACACCCAGUUUCGUUAACCCCUAUAUUUAUGCCAUUUCUGAUCGUUUCUUUCCAAGGAUUCAAGUUGCUGUCUUAAUUUGCUUUUGGCAUGAAGGACUUCCUCCAGUAUUUCUGAUAAGGCAGGUCUGCUAGCAAUGUUUUCAUUUACUUUUGCUUUUGAAGAGUGGAUUUGGGUGAUACAAAAUCCUUGGAUUUUAAGCACUCUGUCAUUCCGCUGCUUCCUGGACUCCCAUUGUUUCAGAUGAAGAGUCUGAUGUUAAUUGGUCCCCUGUAGUAAUGAGUCAUUUUUUUCUCUUGCUUUCAAAUUUUCUCUUUGUUUUUUGGCAUUCAACAGUUUAAAUAUUAUGUAUUUAGGUGGGGAUCUCUUUGUAUUUAUCCCUCUUGGAGUUAUUUGAGUUUUUGGAAGUAUAGAUUAAUGGCUUUUGUCAACUUAGAGGUUUUUUUGCCAUUGUUUUUUGAAAUAUUUUUCUGACCCUUUCUUUCCUCUCCUUCUUGGACUCAUUACACAUAUGUUGGUGUGCUUGGUAUGUCCCAUAGGUCUCCAGGGUGCUGUUCUGUUUUCUUUAAUCUCUUUUCUCUGUCCUUCAGAUUGAAUCAUUUCUAUUGAUUUAUCUUUAAGUUCACUUAUUUUUUCUCCUGUCAUCUAUUGCCGAGCUUCUCUAGUGGACUUUUCAUUUGUUAUUGUACAUUUCUUUUUUAUUUUUUUUUUUAACAUUUAUUUAUUUUUUAGAGACAGAGCAUGAGCAGGGGAGGGGCAGAGAGAGAGGGAGACACAGAAUCUAAAGCAGGCUCCAGGCUCUGAACUGUCAGCACAGAGCCCAAUGUAGGGCUCCAACUCAGGAACCACGAGAUCACGACCUGAGCCAAAGUUGGACGCUCAACUGAAGGAUAAUCUGUCUCUAUUCAGUUUUUUGGUUAUUUUUUAAGAAACUUUGUGUUUAUUUUUAAGCUCAGUUUUCUAGGGGGUUUCCCUGUGUCUGCAUAGCUUAGUGGUCAGCCAACCACCAGACAGGCACCUCAACCAGUCAGAUUUCUGCCCUCUGCUGAUCGAUCUGUUUGUAGAUGGGGAGUGACUUCAGUGUUUGGGGUGUUUUCAAGUCUGUCCUGGCUUUUACUUUUUGCUGAACCCCUUUUAAGUUCCUGUGCACAUGAAAGCAGCCUCAGAGUUAGCCAGGAAUAUACAGCUUGGACCUCUCUGGUCUCUCCUCUGCAUGUGUGCAGCUUUAGAUCAGCCAGAAAGCUGCACGUUCCAACUAGAUUGCAACCUCAGGGUUAGUAGAGCCACCAGGUGUCCCGCUUGCAUAGCAAUGUGGUCAUUACUUCUAUUGAUAAAGCUAUUACUGGAUGUUGGUAUCACCUGUCACUCCAAAUUGAGUGAACCCCAUCUUCAACCACAGGAACCUGCUGGUCUUCACGUUCUGUUUUGCCUGGACAGAACCUCCAUAAUGACUGAGCUGGGGGAGUAGGGAAUGGUAACAGCCCUGGGUGAGAACGCCACAGUCUCCCACUGUUCCUCCACAAAGUUCAGCAAUUUUCCAAACAAAUACGUCUCAGAUUGCUGUAUGCUUUGGGCCAGUUUCCAGAGCACUAAAGUUGUUUUGCCACUUCCCCCCACCCCCCUUGGCAUUAUAGUUGCAUUUUUGAGGAGAGGAUUUGCUGACGUCUUUAACUUGGCUAUAGCUGGAAGUGCUACCCAAAGCAUCUGAGACUUGAAUUAUGAUUGAGUAAUUGGAGAAGUUGAAACUUGGAAAAGGAUUGUACUCCUGUCAUAACUGCCUACACAGCCCACUGCAAACUGGUGAUCCAGUUGUUUAAGAUGGUUAUGACUGAGAAUGGGAACUGGCCGGGGAACAGGGGGUAUGUGCUGUUUCCUUUCUGUCUUCUGCUGGUAGUCCUGUAUUUUCUCCUGUUCCACUUUUUGCAAACUAUCCAUGGAUUCGUUGACAUAACUUCCUUCAGUCCUUUGAGAGUGGACCAUCAUUGGUUACCGAUAGUCACGAUAGUCCAACCUCCACAGCAGGCCAUCUUAGUUUAUGUCUUUACAGCAACAUUUGUGCAGGUGUUCAGUAUUAUUACCUCUUACCUUGUUAGGCAAAAUGAUUGGGAAUUGGAAAAAUGAAAAUCCCACAGCGAAUGAUAAGAACUUAUAAGUUCCAUGAAUUCGAAACAGGAAUCCAUAGAUCAUUGAACUGAAGUCAAUGAUACGCUCACCUGUGAAGGAUCAAAACUGAAUAAUUGUACUAGUCUGGUUGUGGGUAGUAGAGGGUAUAUGGUAAAGAAGGGAUGGACUCCUGGGGGGCCUAGAGACUUUGCUUUUUCGACAAGGCUUUAAUAAUUGUGUGGUUAUGUGGUGUUUUCAUAUUGAAUAAUACCAUGUUUGUCUUCACCACCUCAUAUGAGCUAAGUGUCCUGUUAUUAGACAGUAGAGUUUUGUUUCUUGCUGACAUCUUUAGUGAGUUCAUAGAGACCUUGUCACACUCUACAUGUCUCGUAACUAUGUAGUAGGUCUUUUCUUAGGGAAAUCAAAGUUCUCUUUUCUAUGUGUUUUUCAUGAAAAGGGAUAGAUUGGUUGCUACCACAAAAGAUCAAUUUCUCUAAAAUACUACUUUCAUCAGAUUUGUAGCUUGACAUACUUAACCUUUUUAUUGUCUUUCGUAAGCAUAAUUAAUUACCAGUAUCUUCUUCAACUGCCCUAAAGGUGCAUAUCCUUACUGGGGCUACAUAACUUUGUUUUUUAGUUUAUUACUUUUUUAAUGACUGGUAGAUGUUACUUUAUUUUUUCUUUGUAAUUUAUUUGUAUGUUAAAAAAUUUUUUUAAUAUUAUUUUGAGAGAGAGAGAGAGCAGGAGCAGGGGAGGGGCGGAGAGAGGGAGACACAGAAUCCAAAGCAGGCUCCAGGCUCUGAGCUGUCAGCACAGAGCCUGCUGAGGGGCUCGAACUCACGGACCGUGAGAUCAUGACCUGAGCCAAAGUCUGGCGCUUAACCGACUGAGCCACCCAGGUGCCCAAUCUGUUUCUUUCUUUCUUUUUUUUUUUUUUUAAAUAAUUUUAAGUUUAUUUUGAGAGAGAGCAUGAGCAGGGGAGAGGGAGAGAGAGAAUCCCAAGCAGGAUCUGUGCUAUCCUCAGGGAUCCUGAUGCAGGGCUUGAACUCACGAGCUGCAAGAUCAUGACUUGAACCCAAAUCAAGAUUCAGUCACUUGACUGAGCCACCCAGGAGCCCCUGAUCUCAUCUCUUUUAAUGGCCACAUAGUAUUCCAUUGUAUGGAUUAUUAUUUAUCCAUUCUUGUAUUGAUGGGUGUUAGGUAGUUUAAAAUUUUCCUUAUUACCGAUUAGAUUGAGAUAAACAUCCUUGUCUGAAUGUUUGUCUUUACAGAUUUCUAUAGAAAGGAUUUCUUUUUUUGAGCAGGGCAAAUCAUAAAAUUUUAUUGAAAAACUUUUUUUU
Long non-coding RNA from Neofelis nebulosa (Clouded leopard), 5262 nucleotides. RefSeq lists it as uncharacterized. The transcript has 3 exons. Lineage: Eukaryota; Metazoa; Chordata; Mammalia; Carnivora; Felidae. The record is from RefSeq and is a predicted model, not a curated record.